Molecule: ribosomal RNA, 429 nt
Filed under: uncultured bacterium
Lineage: Bacteria
Description: bacterial SSU rRNA
Rfam family: Bacterial small subunit ribosomal RNA
Source: RNAcentral
UGGGGAAUUUUGGACAAUGGGGGCAACCCUGAUCCAGCCAUGCCGCGUGAGUGAAGAAGGCCUUCGGGUUGUAAAGCUCUUUCAGCCGGAAAGAAAUCGUACAGACUAAUACUCUGUAUGGAUGACGGUACCGGAAGAAGAAGCACCGGCUAACUACGUGCCAGCAGCCGCGGUAAUACGUAGGGUGCGAGCGUUAAUCGGAAUUACUGGGCGUAAAGCGUGCGCAGGCGGUUUUGUAAGUCAGAUGUGAAAUCCCCGGGCUUAACCUGGGAACUGCGUUUGAAACUACAAGGCUAGAGUGUAGCAGAGGGGGGUGGAAUUCCACGUGUAGCAGUGAAAUGCGUAGAGAUGUGGAGGAACACCGAUGGCGAAGGCAGCCCCCUGGGUUAACACUGACGCUCAGGCACGAAAGCGUGGGGAGCAAACAGG